RNAcentral lists this unclassified non-coding RNA (266 nucleotides) under Glomus sp. RNAcentral's name for it is "partial contains 5.8S ribosomal RNA and internal transcribed spacer 2". The stretch from base 1 to 65 matches the Rfam family "5.8S ribosomal RNA", at positions 84 to 154 of the family's 154-position model. Lineage: Eukaryota; Fungi; Glomeromycota; Glomeromycetes; Glomerales; Glomeraceae. The record is from RNAcentral.
GUGAAUCAUCGAAUUUUUGAACGCAAAUUGCACUCUCUUCGGAGAGUAUGCCUGUUUGAGGGUCAGCCUAAAAAAAUUGAUAUAGCCGCUGUUCCCCGGUGACAUUCGUCGCUAAUUGGGUCAUCUUAAACCUCUGGGUCUUAAGCGGCCUAAAUUUCUCUUUACGAUUCCACGAACGUCUCUAGGAUUUACUUCUUACACGUUUAAGGUAAUCGAUCUAUAUUAGACGUGGCCGUGCCAUCGGAUCGCGCCCAUAAAUAUUUCGU